RNAcentral lists this transfer RNA (72 nucleotides) under Echinosorex gymnura. Its description in RNAcentral is "tRNA-Leu". It matches the Rfam family "tRNA". From Rfam's summary of the family: Transfer RNA (tRNA) molecules are approximately 80 nucleotides in length. Their secondary structure includes four short double-helical elements and three loops (D, anti-codon, and T loops). Lineage: Eukaryota; Metazoa; Chordata; Mammalia; Eulipotyphla; Erinaceidae. The record is from RNAcentral.
ACUUUAAUAGGAUAGAAGCUAAUCCAUUGGUCUUAGGAGCCAAAAACUUUGGUGCAAAUCCAAAUAAAAGUA